UACGGGGGGGGCAAGCGUUGUUCGGAAUUACUGGGCGUAAAGCGUGCGCAGGCGGUUUUGUAAGUUUGUCGUGAAAGCCCCGGGCUCAACCUGGGAAUUGCGAUGAAGACUGCAAGGCUUGAAUCUGGCAGAGGGGGGUAGAAUUCCACGUGUAGCAGUGAAAUGCGUAGAGAUGUGGAGGAACACCGAUGGCGAAGGCAGCCCCCUGGGUCAAGAUUGACGCUCAUGCACGAAAGCGUGGGGAGCAAACAGG
This 253-nucleotide ribosomal RNA is filed under the name uncultured bacterium. RNAcentral's name for it is "partial 16S ribosomal RNA". It matches the Rfam family "Bacterial small subunit ribosomal RNA", at positions 524 to 776 of the family's 1533-position model. The record is from RNAcentral.